This 415-nucleotide ribosomal RNA is filed under the name uncultured bacterium. Its description in RNAcentral is "bacterial SSU rRNA". It matches the Rfam family "Bacterial small subunit ribosomal RNA", at positions 355 to 786 of the family's 1533-position model. The record is from RNAcentral.
UGGGGAAUAUUGCACAAUGGAGGAAACUCUGACGCAGUGACGCCGCGUAUAGGAAGAAGGUUUUCGGAUUGUAAACUAUUGUCGUUAGGGAAGAAAAAAGACAGUACCUAAGGAGGAAGCUCCGGCUAACUACGUGCCAGCAGCCGCGGUAAUACGUAGGGAGCAAGCGUUAUCCGGAUUUAUUGGGUGUAAAGGGUGCGUAGACGGGCGAUCAAGUUAGUUGUGAAAUCCCUCGGCUCAACUGAGGAACUGCAACUAAAACUGGUUGUCUUGAGUGCAGGAGAGGUAAGUGGAAUUCCUAGUGUAGCGGUGAAAUGCGUAGAUAUUAGGAGGAACACCAGUGGCGAAGGCGACUUACUGGACUGUAACUGACGUUGAGGCACGAAAGUGUGGGGAGCAAACAGGAUUAGAUACC